AAUUUGAAAUCUGGCACCUUCGGUGUCCGAGUUGUAAUUUGAAGAAGGUAACUUUGGAGUUGGCUCUUGUCUAUGUUCCUUGGAACAGGACGUCACAGAGGGUGAGAAUCCCGUGCGAUGAGAUGCCCAAUUCUAUGUAAAGUGCUUUCGAAGAGUCGAGUUGUUUGGGAAUGCAGCUCUAAGUGGGUGGUAAAUUCCAUCUAAAGCUAAAUAUUGGCGAGAGACCGAUAGCGAACAAGUACAGUGAUGGAAAGAUGAAAAGAACUUUGAAAAGAGAGUGAAAAAGUACGUGAAAUUGUUGAAAGGGAAGGGCUUGAGAUCAGACUUGGUAUUUUGCGAUCCUUUCCUUCUUGGUUGGGUUCCUCGCAGCUUACUGGGCCAGCAUCGGUUUGGAUGGUAGGAUAAUGACUAAGGAAUGUGGCUCUACUUCG
RNAcentral lists this ribosomal RNA (431 nucleotides) under Debaryomyces hansenii. RNAcentral's name for it is "partial 26S ribosomal RNA". It matches the Rfam family "Eukaryotic large subunit ribosomal RNA", at positions 112 to 548 of the family's 3401-position model. The record is from RNAcentral. Lineage: Eukaryota; Fungi; Ascomycota; Pichiomycetes; Serinales; Debaryomycetaceae.